Molecule: ribosomal RNA, 274 nt
Filed under: uncultured bacterium
Lineage: Bacteria
Description: partial 16S ribosomal RNA
Rfam family: Bacterial small subunit ribosomal RNA
Source: RNAcentral
AUACGGAGGGUGCAAGCGUUACUCGGAAUCACUGGGCGUAAAGCGCGCGCAGGCGGUCUUUUAAGUUGGAUGUGAAAGCCUACGGCUCAACCGUAGAACUGCAUCCAAAACUAUUAGACUAGAGUGUGGGAGAGGAAGAUGGAAUUAGUUGUGUAGGGGUAAAAUCCGUAGAGAUAACUAGGAAUACCAAAAGUGAAGGCAAUCUUCUGGAACACUACUGACGCUGAGGCGCGAAGGCGUGGGGAGCAAACAGGAUUAGAAACCCCAGUAGUCC